RNAcentral lists this ribosomal RNA (1230 nucleotides) under Aspidiphorus orbiculatus. RNAcentral's name for it is "16S ribosomal RNA". The stretch from base 1019 to 1178 matches the Rfam family "Archaeal large subunit ribosomal RNA", at positions 2542 to 2701 of the family's 2987-position model. The record is from RNAcentral. Lineage: Eukaryota; Metazoa; Arthropoda; Insecta; Coleoptera; Sphindidae.
UUUAAUAGAUUAUUUUAUUUAUUUUUUUUAAGACUUGAUGUAUUAAAUAUAAUAAAGAUAAAAAUUUAUAUUUAUUAUAGUAGAUUAGUAUUGUGAAAGAAUUUGUUUAAAUUUUUGAAAGAAAAAUAAUUUUGUACCUUGUGUCUCAGGGUUUUUUAAAUAAACAUUAUGAAUUUAAUUUUCUCGAAUUUAAAAGAGCUAUUUGCCUAUAAAUUUUAUUGUUGAAUAAAUAUUUAAAAUAGGUUUAUAGUAAUGAAAUGUUAUUCGUUUUUAAAUAUAUCUAGUUUAAAAAGAAAAAAGUUUAAUUUGUUUAUCUUAAUAUAAUUUUUUGUGUUUUUAAAAAAUUAUUAAGGGUAAGUUAUUAUUGAAGGGAUAAGCUUUUUUUAAGAUUCUCAUAAAUUUGAAAUUUUUAUUAAAUUAAUAGGAAUAGAAUUUUCUAUUUAUAAAAAAAUGUUAUAAUUGAUUUAAUUUAUAAUAAUAUUUUUAUAUGUUUUGAGUAUUUAUUUUUAUUUUAAUUUAAAUUGUUUAGAUUGAGUGAUAAUGAAAGAAUUAGUAUAAAUUUUUGUAUAAUUAUAAUUAUAAUAAAGGUUAAAUAAAGGAAUUCGGCAAAAAAUUUUUCACCUGUUUAUUAAAAACAUGUCUUUUUGAUGAUAAUUUAAAGUCUUGCCUGCCCACUGAAAUUUAAAUGGCCGCGGUAAUUUGACCGUGCAAAGGUAGCAUAAUCAAUAGUUUUUUAAUUGAAAGCUGGAAUGAAAGGUCGGAUGAGAAAAUAACUGUCUCUAUUUAAUUUAAUUAGAAUUUUAUUUUUAAGUAAAAAAGCUUAAAUAAUUUUUAAAGACGAGAAGACCCUAUAGAGUUUAAUAUUUAAGUAUUAAAUUUAAAUUGGGAUUAUGAAGGAUUUAUUAUUAAUAAUAUUUGGUUGGGGUGACUUAAAAACUUAAUAAACUUUUUUAAUUGUUUUCAUUUAUUUAUGAUUAAUUGAUCCUUAGUUUUGAUUAAAAGAUUAAAUUACCUUAGGGAUAACAGCGUAAUUUUUUUAAAGAGUUCAAAUCGAAAAAAAAGAUUGCGACCUCGAUGUUGGAUUAAAGUAAAAAUUUGGUGUAGAAGCUAAAAUUUUUAGGUCUGUUCGACCUUUAAAACUUUACAUGAUCUGAGUUUAAACCGGUGUAAGCCAGGUUGGUUUCUAUCUUAAAAUUUUUUAUAUUUUUUAGUACGAAAGGACCAAAAAUA